GAUGAACGCUGGCGGCGUGCCUAAUACCUGCAAGUCGAGCGAACAGACUAGGAGCUUGCUCCUCUGACGUUAGCGGCGGACGGGUGAGUAACACGUGGAUAACCUACCUAUAAGACUGGGAUAACUUCGGGCAACCGGUGCUAAUACCGGAUAAUAUAUUGAAUCGCAUGGCUCAAUAGUGAAAGACGGUUUUGUUUUUCCUCAUCGAUGGAUCCGCGCCGCAUGAGCUAGUUGGUAAGGUAACGGCUUACCAAGGCAACGAUGCGUAACCGACCUGAGAGGGUGAUGGGCCACACGGGAACGGAGACACGGUCCAGCCUCCUACGGGAGGCAGCAGUAGAGAAUCUUCCGCAAUAGGCGAAAGCCUGACGGAGCAACGCCGCGUGAGUGAUGAAGGUCUUCGGAUCGUAAAACUCUGUUAUUAGGGAAGAACAAAUGUGUAAGUAACUAUGCACGGCUUGACGGUACCUGAGCAGAAAGCCACGGCUAACUACGUG
This 497-nucleotide ribosomal RNA is filed under the name uncultured bacterium. RNAcentral describes it as "partial 16S ribosomal RNA". It matches the Rfam family "Bacterial small subunit ribosomal RNA", at positions 28 to 507 of the family's 1533-position model. The record is from RNAcentral.